Long non-coding RNA from Populus nigra (black poplar), 616 nucleotides. RefSeq lists it as uncharacterized. The transcript has 2 exons. The record is from RefSeq and is a predicted model, not a curated record. Lineage: Eukaryota; Viridiplantae; Streptophyta; Magnoliopsida; Malpighiales; Salicaceae.
CCCUAGCUUCUCGCCACUGUCAUCCCCUCAUCUCUCUCCUUCACCAAACACACAACAGCCCUUCACCUCCUCCUCCUCCUCCUCCUCCUCCUCCCGUUCUCCCCCACCAACAGAGUACAAGGAUCAUCUUAUCCUGGUUUCACUCCUCCAGGACGAUGGCAAUUGAACUAUAUAUAAGCAACGAACCAUCACAAAAAUGACAUCAUUACAUUACACAUGCUUGUUGUUUUACUGAUCACUCCAGAGAACAUCACGCCAGUACCUCUGUCUCCAAAUGACACUGGAACAUGCUUGGUCGUUGGGAACGGGCUUCCAGUUUGCCAAACAAUUUGAGUUGAGAAAGGCAAUCACACGAGUUUUGAGAGAUGAGCUGUUAUUCUUGGAAAGAUGUAUAUAUAUGGGUAAGAUACCAAGAUUUGGAUCUCAAUACGAUGCCAAGUAAUUAUACAACAGAGCUCUCGUGUCGAUUUGCAGGAAGCCAUUCCACAAUAUGCUCUGAAAAGAAGCACGCUGGCUACAGGGCCUGUGGAUCCCUCCACUCAGUUUUAUUUUUUGAUAAUAACCAUCACUCAUUGCUGUCUUUUUCUUAAUUAAAUUACAAGGCAUGCAUCGUUUU